This 100-nucleotide signal recognition particle RNA is filed under the name Clostridiales bacterium. RNAcentral describes it as "signal recognition particle sRNA small type". It matches the Rfam family "Bacterial small signal recognition particle RNA". Rfam says of the family: The signal recognition particle (SRP) is a universally conserved ribonucleoprotein involved in the co-translational targeting of proteins to membranes. Lineage: Bacteria; Bacillati; Bacillota; Clostridia; Eubacteriales. RNAcentral also lists the same sequence under 1 other name. The record is from RNAcentral.
AUAUAGGCCCUGUGCGACUGAAUACCGUGAACCAUGUCAGGCGGGGAACCGAGCAGCAUUAAGCGGCUUUUUCGGUGUGCCGCAGGUAAACCUAUAUGCU